AGAGUUUGAUCAUGGCUCAGAUUGAACGCUGGCGGCAUGCCUUACACAUGCAAGUCGAACGGCAGCGCGGGGCAACCUGGCGGCGAGUGGCGAACGGGUGAGUAAUAUAUCGGAACGUGCCCUGGAGUGGGGGAUAACGCAGCGAAAGUUGCGCUAAUACCGCAUACGAUCUAAGGAUGAAAGCAGGGGACCGCAAGGCCUUGUGCUCCUGGAGCGGCCGAUAUCUGAUUAGCUAGUUGGUGGGGUAAAGGCCUACCAAGGCAUCGAUCAGUAGCUGGUCUGAGAGGACGACCAGCCACACUGGAACUGAGACACGGUCCAGACUCCUACGGGAGGCAGCAGUGGGGAAUUUUGGACAAUGGGCGCAAGCCUGAUCCAGCAAUGCCGCGUGAGUGAAGAAGGCCUUCGGGUUGUAAAGCUCUUUUGUCAGGGAAGAAACGGUGCGGGCUAAUAUCCUGCACUAAUGACGGUACCUGAAGAAUAAGCACCGGCUAACUACGUGCCAGCAGCCGCGGUAAUACGUAGGGUGCAAGCGUUAAUCGGAAUUACUGGGCGUAAAGCGUGCGCAGGCGGUUUUGUAAGUCUGUCGUGAAAUCCCCGGGCUCAACCUGGGAAUUGCGAUGGAGACUGCAAGGCUAGAAUCUGGCAGAGGGGGGUAGAAUUCCACGUAGCAGUGAAAUGCGUAGAGAUGUGGAGGAACACCGAUGGCGAAGGCAGCCCCCUGGGUCAAGAUUGACGCUCAUGCACGAAAGCGUGGGGAGCAAACAGGAUUAGAUACCCUAGUAGUCC
Molecule: ribosomal RNA, 789 nt
Filed under: uncultured bacterium
Lineage: Bacteria
Description: bacterial SSU rRNA
Rfam family: Bacterial small subunit ribosomal RNA
Source: RNAcentral